RNAcentral lists this transfer RNA (76 nucleotides) under Rhodococcus gordoniae. RNAcentral describes it as "tRNA-seC(tca)". Lineage: Bacteria; Bacillati; Actinomycetota; Actinomycetes; Mycobacteriales; Nocardiaceae. The record is from RNAcentral.
CGGCGACGACGUCCGCCGGAUCGGCGGCGCCGUUCAGAGCCGCCAGCAGGUCCGGUUCGAGCCCGGGGUCGCAGGC